UUUCCGUAGGUGAACCUGCGGAAGGAUCAUUACUGUGUUGAUUGAGAUUAGGUGCUGGCGCGUUGCGCAUGUGCACGACUCUCAAAAUCCGAACCUUCCACACCCUGUGCACGUUUGUUAAGAACGGUUUCGUUCUUAAAACUAUUACAAACUCUUGUUGUAUUGUCGUUGGGUUAAUGUUAACAAAUGAAAACUUUCAACAACGGAUCUCUUGGCUCUCGCAUCGAUGAAGAACGCAGC
Molecule: unclassified non-coding RNA, 240 nt
Filed under: uncultured fungus
Lineage: Eukaryota; Fungi
Description: sequence contains ITS1, 5.8S rRNA gene
Rfam family: 5.8S ribosomal RNA (bases 192-240)
Source: RNAcentral